CAUUGUUCUAUCUUUCAAUCUCGUCCGUCCAUAUCUACCCUCGCUUCCAUAAAACGCAAAUUAUGAGACUAGAGAAAAUAUCAUCUCGCCGACAACCGACUGUAUAUCCUAUCCUCAUAUUGGGAGAAAUCUCAGAUCUGAUGUCGAGCCUUUCGAGUUCGAUUCGAUCAACAUGUUAUCGAUGUAGAUCGGUUGACGAUCUACGUUUUGAUGUGUUUUUUCUUUUGGAUCCAUCUAUCGAUCGUGUUGUUUUGCAGAAAACCGAUUGGUUUGACGUGAGGUGUUGAUGGCCGUGGAUCUACCUUUAACCGUCACGGAUCUGUUGUCUACGUUUCAGAUCUGCGAUUUGUUGAUUGAAAGCGGAUUGGAAGGUUUUCUUGGUACAGUGUUCGUUGGUUGCGAGUGUCGUCCUCUGGAGGUAGUAAUCCAGAUGAAUAAUUGAUGCGGAGAUUUUUGUUCGUUUGAUGGAUCAUCAGAAUCUUUUAUCAAAUGCAUCUUAGUGAUCAAAGUUUUGACUCGCUGGAAGACGAUGUUCAUGUACUAAUGGGAACUUUAAGUGUGGAAUCGACAUCCAGGUUUGUUUGUAUAUAUAGAAAGUAAUCGGAAGGAACGGGUCUCGUUUGUAGUGGAGUCCUGUAUGUCCUCUUACCUCUUGUUAUUUGGCCUUUGCCAUGUUGGGUGCGCUCGCAUGGCAGGCCGCCAUAUCCUAAUAAAAAAUAUUGUUUUUGUUUUGAGGGGAGGUCGCACGGGUUUUGCCCGGGAUCUCUCCUCUGGUGUGCGCGCCUUGUGUUUUGUGUGUGUGUGUGUGUGUGUUCGAGUGCCUGUUUUUACUCUAUCCGUGCUUAAAGCCUCUUACAGUCCAAAUCGUGGCAACAUCAACAUCGUUUAUCCAAGUGAUCCCCCAUCGACAUUAACCAUCACCUGAUUCUCAGCAAAAGUCCCAAUACACGACUUUUGUGAUGCAGCAUUUCAUAAGACAACACCUGGAGAUCAAAACGGUUCGCUACUUUAUGCCAGAAUCUGUUUAAUUAAUUUUUUCUUUCCCUAUGCUUUUUUAAUUGAUUAUAUUUUUUGCUUCAUUUUGAGGUUUUGCGAUCAUUUUUAUAUUUUUAUCUUAUGUUAUACUGGACAUCAAAUUUGUGUUUUGUGUUAAUGGGUGGAGUUCUGUCUGUAUUGAGUUUAAAUUGUUUUGUAUGCUAUGGUUGCCUGGCCUUACAUGAUAAGGUUUGUGGUAAGAGCUAUAAAUUUCAGAUACCAUCUCCAUCAAAAGCUACUAGGUUGUUUGCUUUUCAUGACCCCUAUGGUUGUAAUAUCUGGUUGGAGACGAUGAGCAAAAAUGUUGUAAGCAAUGCUGCUGGUGGAACUUUAUCUUCUCUAGGUGGAUCAAGAGUUUGCUGAUAUGCAAGAGUUGCAAGUGGAAGUGCUGUAGCCGCCUUUUUGUCAAAGCAGCUGCUUUUGCUACUGCUGGACUUCAAGGUUGUGGCCUCUGGCUGUCGCUGUUGCUUAUUAUAGCAAGAUGUUUUCUCUGCUGUUUUGCCUUCUGGAAGUGCUGGCUGGUAUGUUCCUCACUGACAAAGCUUUGGCCGUUUGGGUCCGGUCCGCGGCAUUAUCGGUGUGAAUGCAAACAGGUUACGAUGCUUGCAUGAUGUAAUUUCGUCCGGGGUGUGGCAUGCAUGGUUGCCACUCAUUGUCUUCUCAUCUGAUCCACGUGUUAUAGCUAUACUGGCAUGAGUCUAGUUGGAUGUUCUAUUUGCCAUUCGGUACCUUCUCUCUCAAUUUUCAUUGAUCGGUACCUUCCCUCUCAAUUUUUGUUGCUGUAACUUUCUUUAACCAGUUCUGUUGCAGUAAUUCUGUUGAUAGUAUGUUUUUUAGUACUCUAUUGAAACUCAUUGUUGCAGAUGAUUUGACCUGAUGUCUCUGAUGGUGCUGCAAUCUGUAGUCGACCAGUUGAUCAAAUGUAGUUGAGCUUUUCUUAAGUUGCAUGUAGGACACUGAAAUUUUCAUGAUUUGUGGAUGAAGUUUUAGCCGUCUCCUAUAGAUGCUUGUCACCUGACGAGCUCUAUUUUGCUCAUCUAUUGACUGUUGUUAUAAAUGUCUAUUUUUAAGCACUUGUUCUAUUUCUUUCUAUUCUCAAUAGUGUGAUCCUGUAAAGUUUCUGGAGCAAAAUGUAGUAAACGAUUUUAUCACUUUGUGAAA
Molecule: long non-coding RNA, 2196 nt
Organism: Cynara cardunculus var. scolymus (artichoke)
Lineage: Eukaryota; Viridiplantae; Streptophyta; Magnoliopsida; Asterales; Asteraceae
Exons: 3
Source: RefSeq, a predicted model, not a curated record